RNAcentral lists this ribosomal RNA (482 nucleotides) under uncultured bacterium. RNAcentral's name for it is "partial 16S ribosomal RNA". It matches the Rfam family "Bacterial small subunit ribosomal RNA", at positions 29 to 507 of the family's 1533-position model. The record is from RNAcentral.
AUUGAACGCUGGCGGCAUGCCUUACACAUGCAAGUCGAACGGUAACAGGUCUUCGGACGCUGACGAGUGGCGAACGGGUGAGUAAUGCAUCGGAACGUGCCCAGUCGUGGGGGAUAACUGCUCGAAAGAGCAGCUAAUACCGCAUACGACCUGAGGGUGAAAGCGGGGGACCGUAAGGCCUCGCGCGAUUGGAGCGGCCGAUGUCAGAUUAGCUAGUUGGUGGGGUAAAGGCCUACCAAGGCAACGAUCUGUAGUUGGUCUGAGAGGACGACCAGCCACACGGGGAGGUAGACGCGCCCGGGCCCCCGAGGGGGGCCAGCGGUGGGGAUUUUGGGACAAGGGGCCCAAGCUGUACCCAGCAAUGCCGCGGGAAGAAAGAAGCCCUUCGUUUUGUAAGCUUUUUUUGUAGGGAAAAAAUUUUUCUGGCCAAAACCCCGGGGGGAAGGAGGGCACCGAAAAAAGAACCCCCGCCUAACUACGUC